CCGCCGCGGCGGCCGCCAGCCCCAAGCGCAUCUGGCCGUUGAGCGGGUGACCGCCGGGAGCCCCCGGAGAGUCGUGCAGCGCGGGAAAGAGCGCGGGGCCGCCACCGUCCCGGCCCGCCGAUUGGCAGAGUGAACACCACAUUUGAGCUGCACAGUGGGACCGAGUUUUUGGAAAUGGCACGGGUGGGAUUGGAGGGAGCCGUGUGAUUGGCAGCUGCCUCGGCUGCGCGAUUGGCUCCGGUUCAGGCUCUGGGCUCAGCGGGAAACCGCCCCCGUGCUCCAGACCGCCUGCGUUUUCACUUCGCGCCCCCUCCUCCCCAGGAGCUCUGCAUGCCGGUUCACCCCCGGAUGCCCAAGUUCCACUUGCAGAAAGUUUUGUGCGUGGCCUGCGCACUCAGUCCCCUGCGAACGUUCGUUCGGUCGACGCGCCUGGUGUGGAGAGUCUGCUAGCUCUCAGCCAGAGUGCACCCAAUUGGGAGGGGUCAAGGGACCUCCCGACCACGGUCAAAGCGACGGGGUGGGGGUGGGGAAGAAACCAAGGAGGGUAGUACCCGAACACUUUCUACCUCCUCUCUUGGAUCCCUGACUGCUCCCUGGACCAAGUGACCAUCCUGCCAUGGUAUCUGUAGCGAUGCCAGAAGCUUCUUAUAUGGACCUCGACUUCCCCUGGGCCCACGUGGGCUGUAGACUGGAGGCAGAAUGAGGACGGUUAUUAAACGUUAUUGGUUGCAAAACUGAUGGAGCUUGGCAAAAUACCAAAGUCAAAAUAAUAUCUAAUAAAUCCCCAAAGGAACAGUCUUGCUUAGACCAUGGGUUGCCAUUCAACAUAGUUCAAAGGAAUGGGCUCAAGACGAAAUCUCACUGCUCAUGGGUUCAAGAUCUGCUACUUCCAAUUAGAUCUCCUGAGGGGCGGGGAGGUGGGAAUGUGGAGGGAGAGCCAACCUAACUUUUGCCUCUCAGAGAUACAGUGGCAGAGAAGGCCAAAUAGCGUCUCUCCUAAGUGAAGCCAUUAAACAAGAGACGUCCUUUAAGUGAAUAUCUCCUUCCUGCCCAGAAGGCACUCCUCAUAUGUGCCUCAGUUUCUCCGGAAGGACCACAAGUUGGAACACACAAAAUAAAUGUUUUAAAAUCA
Long non-coding RNA from Peromyscus californicus insignis, 1132 nucleotides. RefSeq lists it as uncharacterized. The transcript is spliced from 2 exons. Lineage: Eukaryota; Metazoa; Chordata; Mammalia; Rodentia; Cricetidae. The record is from RefSeq and is a predicted model, not a curated record.